UACGUAGGAGGCAAGCGUUGUCCGGAGUACUGGGCGUAAAGCGCACGCAGGCGGUCCUAUUAGUCUGGGGUGACAGUUCCCGGCUUAACCGGAAAAGGACUCUGGAAACUGUAGGACUUGAGGGCUUCAGAGGGAUGUGGAAUUCCAGGUGGAGUGGUGAAAUGCGUAGAGAUCUGGAAGAACACCAAAGGCGAAGGCAGCAUCCUGGGAAGUUCCUGACGCUCGGGUGCGAAAGCCAGGGGAGCGAACGGG
This 252-nucleotide ribosomal RNA is filed under the name uncultured bacterium. RNAcentral's name for it is "partial 16S ribosomal RNA". It matches the Rfam family "Bacterial small subunit ribosomal RNA", at positions 524 to 776 of the family's 1533-position model. The record is from RNAcentral.